UAGUAAGUUUAUUACUCGGGUGCCCCAAACACACCAAAAACCAGGUGCCAUGGGGAUAAUAGGGAACCAGGUGAAAGUCCUGGACGGUCCGGCCACUGUAAAUGGCGAGCCUCCUUUUAAUUGCCACCGGCGUAACCGGGAAGGCUAAAGGCGGGCGGUGAACCAUAAGUCAGGAGACCUACCCGGGUUACACACAUAGU
RNAcentral lists this non-coding RNA (200 nucleotides) under Desulfoscipio gibsoniae. Lineage: Bacteria; Bacillati; Bacillota; Clostridia; Eubacteriales; Desulfallaceae. RNAcentral also lists the same sequence under 1 other name. The record is from RNAcentral.